UUAGAGAUACCUGCAAGUUCG
RNAcentral lists this microRNA (21 nucleotides) under Marchantia polymorpha subsp. ruderalis. Lineage: Eukaryota; Viridiplantae; Streptophyta; Marchantiopsida; Marchantiales; Marchantiaceae. The record is from RNAcentral.